RNAcentral lists this ribosomal RNA (525 nucleotides) under uncultured bacterium. Its description in RNAcentral is "bacterial SSU rRNA". It matches the Rfam family "Bacterial small subunit ribosomal RNA", at positions 9 to 535 of the family's 1533-position model. The record is from RNAcentral.
GGGCGGUUUGAUCAUGGCUCAGGACGAACGCUGGCGGCGUGCUUAACACAUGCAAGUCGAGGGGGGUGGGGCAACCCACUCACCGGCGAACGGGUGCGUAACACGUGAGCGACUGGUCCUACAGGUGGGGGAUAGCCGGCCCAACGGCCGGGUAAUACCGCAUACGUUCCCUUGGGGGCAUCCCCGGGGGAGGAAAGCCUAACGGCGGCUGAGGAGGGGCUCGCGGCCUAUCAGCUAGUUGGCGAGGUAACGGCUCACCAAGGCAACGACGGGUAGCUGGUCUGAGAGGAUGGCCAGCCACAUUGGGACUGAGAAACGGCCCAGACUCCUACGGGAGGCAGCAGUGGGGAAUCUUGCGCAAUGGCCGAAAGGCUGACGCAGCGACGCCGCGUGUGGGAGGAAGCCCUUCGGGGUGUAAACCACUGUUGCCCGGGACGAACGGCGGGGAAUGCCCCGCGUGACGGUACCGGGUGAGGAAGCACCGGCUAACUCCGUGCCAGCAGCCGCGGUAAUAACCUAAAUAGC